Molecule: non-coding RNA, 858 nt
Organism: Pelobates cultripes (western spadefoot toad)
Lineage: Eukaryota; Metazoa; Chordata; Amphibia; Anura; Pelobatidae
Source: the annotation of a GenBank genome assembly
GUUAAAUUGUGAUUUUAAUCAAAUCAACCCAGGUGUUAUUUACAGCUGGAUAUAAUUGAGAAGUAGCUAUCCACCAUAGCACUUAAGAUGUACUGUACGUAAGGGAUCUAGGAAAUGUCAUGAAAAAAAAUAGAUAGGUUAUCACCAUCGUAAAUGUGCAUAAACUUACAAUGUGUCUGUUUCAUUUGUGCACCAUUUAAUCAUGCAACCACAAUAAGGAACCAUUAGAGCAAGAGAUGACCGAGACAGAUAUACCUGUCUGGUGACAUUGUGUAUCCUCACUAACUUAUCUGUCUGGUGGCAAUAUUCCUCAGACCCCCUUAAGAAGAGUUCUCCUUUCUAUCCAUCUGUGGCCCCAAUGCCUUACUACUUUUCACACCACCUGUAAUAACUUUCAUAUAAUCAAAAUACACUAAGAUCAUACUUUAUUUGCUCCUAAGAGCAAUAGCUUAGAAUCCCUUUAAGGGGACACUAAAGGUACUCAGACCUCUUCAUCUCAAUGAAGUUGUCUAGGUUCCAUGCCCCUGUCUUUUGAAGCCUGCAAUGUAAAACAUUGCAAUUUCAUAGGAACAGCAAUAUUUUUAUUGAAGAGUUAACAAGCCUCUAUUGCAGCCACUAGAGGCACUUUCCUCUGCUAUAAGGGAGUCAUACUCAGUUAUUGAUCAGAUGCUGCUUCUACAGUAAAUAUUGCCUUUCACAUUAUGACAUGGGGUGGGGACAUCUAGAUAGGUUACAGGAAACUAUUAAUACAAACCAAAUGUUUGUAUUCCUAACGCUAUAGUGUUCCUUUAAAAAUGGAUUAGACACUGGAUACUAAAAAAACUGUGACAAGUGCUACUUUCACCCGGAAAGAUAACU